CCACGUUUCCUGUGAGGGCUUCAUAUGAGAAGAGGUUCUUUCUGACACCCACUCGCCCCAUUCCUGAAAUACCUGCCAGGCGGCUUUAAUGAACGGCUGCAGCACCUGCCAAGCCAGACCCAGGCACCCAACCCUGCUGCGCUCCCUCUGCAUUUCCCAACCAUCCCAGCCAAGGCCUACGUUCCAAAUGCAGCCGCGGAUGUGGAGUCAAGGCGUGCCAGAGAACCGGGGCACCUGCGGUUGUCCGACGCUUUUAAAAGCUACCUGGGAGAACCACCUCCGUCUGGCAUCCUGUGCAGAGUGAAUAGACAGCUCUGACUCCAAAAACAAUCCCUCCAAUAAAUGAUAACAUGAAGAUAAUAUCUGAAGCUCUUAUUUCUCUCUGGUCUGAUAUUGGAGGGUCUGUCAAUAUUCCUUUUCAUUACAUUUUAUUUUUUUUAUUCAGGGCCUGUUACAAUCUAAAUGGUUUCUAGGUGCUUGAAACCCAGGACCUGACCCCCCCAACCCAGAAACUCCCCUUUAACAGGAAGAAACAGAUUGCACUGAUACCGGCAGCUGUCACAGCCCCUUUUCUCCAGUUCCCUCCUGUCCCAGUACUUUUCCACUGCCCUGCUCACACCACACCCUCUGAUCACCACACCUGCUCUCAGUCACUGAUCACACACCUGCUCUCAGUCACUGAUCACACACCUGCCCUCACUCAUCAAUCAGCUCACCUACCAGUGUAUAUAUUCUCCAGCCUCACACUCACUCAGUGCCAGAUUGUUCUUCUGCUUUCAUGCAAGACUUUCCAGCGUUGUUUCCCUGCCGGAUUACCCGUUACCGACCCUGCCUGUCUUCGUUCUGCCUGCCUUGCCUGUUCCCCGGACAACCUACCUGCUUUCUGCCCCUGACUACGACUUCUGCCUCAGCGUCUCUGGUUCCUGUCUGCUGAACCUGGUUUAGACUUCUCCGCCCGGCUCGGGCUUCGCUGCUGCUCGUCCCACUCCCCGAGCCUGCAACCCAUAGACUUUGUGCGGGCCCAGAGCCUGAAGAACGGACUAUUUCCUGUGUUUCCUGGUCUGCCUGAGUUCCUGUUUGCCCGUGUGUGUUAAUAAAAGUCAUUACUACGGUCCAGCUUUCCAGAGUGCUGCAUUUGGGUCCUAACUGCACCCGUCACAGCAGCAGCUUCUGAACUGCUCGCUGUAUUCAACCUAAACAGCAGCCGGUUACAGAUUAAACAGCAGGACUAAUUAUACAAUUCUAAUUUAUGAGGAUUUACGAAAAUAUUUCACAAAAAGGCAUAAAAUAGGCAAAAUGUCACCCACAGAUGAAAAGGUAAGUGUAAAUUUGGCUUCAGG
This 1340-nucleotide long non-coding RNA is filed under the name Takifugu rubripes (torafugu). RNAcentral's name for it is "lncRNA (ENSTRUG00000028968.1)". Lineage: Eukaryota; Metazoa; Chordata; Actinopteri; Tetraodontiformes; Tetraodontidae. The record is from RNAcentral.